Molecule: long non-coding RNA, 1602 nt
Organism: Macrosteles quadrilineatus (aster leafhopper)
Lineage: Eukaryota; Metazoa; Arthropoda; Insecta; Hemiptera; Cicadellidae
Exons: 8
Source: RefSeq, a predicted model, not a curated record
ACAUAUAAAGUUCGGUUAUUAUUUAUUAGUGCACUGCAACUGGGCACAUUGUGGAGAAAAUAAGUUACAAUUAAAUGUCCUUUUGUUAGAAUUAGUUUAGAAUUUUUCAACAGGAUCCCAAAUGAAAUUAAAAAUAAGUUAUUUUGAAGAUGUAAUUUUAAAAAAUCCAAGAUUCCCUUUUAGCCUAGUUUAGUUUCAAGGACAAUUUAUUAAAGAGAGUAUAAGUUAAGUCAUACUGAUACACUGCUACACUCUAGCAGAGCCUGUGAAUUGUAGGCUAUUAGCUCUGCAAACACUUCAGAAAACUUGCAAAUUUACAAAUUGCCUAGGCUCUUAAAUCUUUUGACAAACCUUUGACUUCAACUGCUUCGCCUAUGGAGAUCUUAAAAUGCCUAGUCCCAAUUUAAACAUAGCUGCUGCCUCAAUGUAUGUAGCUUCGGAGAGGCUCGCCGUCGGGUUUUCUUGGCUAAUUGUGUCGCUGAAAGCCUACCUUGGGCGAACACGUUGCUCAUUGUUGGAAUGCUUGGUGAUGGUGGAGGAAAGCGAGAUCAUGAACCAGUGAAUAAGGUGAUAAGCAACCCAAUGGAAUCCUCCCUUAAAAAUUGAAUUGAAGAGGGGCCAUCCAGAAGAAAGCAAUGCUGGAUCCACCCUUCAGGGUAGCAACAGCAAACAUUGAUGAAAGGUAAAAGCAACAGCCCGGAAUGGUUUGAGACAAAAAAGACACAUCAUCCAACUUCAUGCUGGUAUGCAACCGAAAGCCAUACUAGUACCCCAGUGGUAAAAAGGCUACUGUAUGCCACACGCACUCCGUCAUCUACGGCAAAGCGCACGAGGGAGAUGCAAUAUGCCAGCUUGAAAUAUCACUAAGGUCACAGUUCAGCCUUGCGAUUUUGUCAUCAACGAUAAAAUGCCAUUCUUGGGAGCCUCUAGAUCCUGACGGUCUCAUAGGAAAUGGAAUUGUUGAGAUGGCUGAAUUCAAACAUUCAAGAAUAGCAAACAUUCAAUAACAAAGUGGCUUUGGACGCAAUCCUAACCCAACGCCCUCAUACUUGGCCAACAACGGAUAACAAGUGUGGCGAAAUUGUUGGAAACAACAAGGAAUUCAGUUAGGGAGUUCCUGGUCAGAGCUGCACAUGCAGUUUCGACUUCAGGCGCUGCCGUUGUCGAUAUUUCAUAUGACGAGGCGGACAUUGAUGCCUCUCUUGAAGCUGACUACGACUAGUGAUGUUUAAUACCCAGAACAAUGGUGUCAUUGAACAAAAAGCUGUUGGCUGUACGAUAGGUGCCAUCCUUACCAGUAGUCUCCACCGAGGACCUCAAGGAUCAUUCAAGGUGGAUACCCCAGAGUGAACACAAGAAGAGUGGAGACCCAGUUUGGCAUCUAGAAAAUCAUGACCGACCUCGGGAAAGACGUAAGGGAUGCCAAAGAGGAAGAGGCUUGGUAGUAGGAGCAAGAAGGCAAGAAAUGAGGACAUGAACUUCUUAGGAACCAGUUGGCAGGGGAAGCUGGGGAAAACCACUACACACCCCAAACCACAGGAAAGAAAAUGAAACAUGUAUAGUUAAGUUAUUUUUUACUUACCUUACAAAUAAAUAAAUGAA